Lolium rigidum is the source of this 1412-nucleotide long non-coding RNA. RefSeq lists it as uncharacterized. The record is from RefSeq and is a predicted model, not a curated record. The transcript has 3 exons. Lineage: Eukaryota; Viridiplantae; Streptophyta; Magnoliopsida; Poales; Poaceae.
UCCCCUUCCUCUCGUCCUCCUCACCCACAGCCACAGGUUCUAGCCACCUCCGGAUCCGGCCGCCACCGGCCCGGCCAUCCACGAGGUGAUGAGCAGGACGUCCAGGUCAUUCCCCUCUCUCGUAAUCCCUUUUGUCUGUGGAUUAGUACACCGGAUAAACGGAGACUUCAAAGUGGAGGCGAAGGACGUGACCUAGAGCUGCCGCCAUGUCCUAGCCUACCGCCUCCGCUUCAACCCCACCAGCCCCUCAUUUUUAGUUUGUAAUCUGAUUCGAAUGUUGAUGAGCACAUAGCCUUGGAGCUGAGAACCAGGAGGAAUCCGAGGAGACAGAUGGAGAUGGAAUGGGGAAGAAGACAGGGUGAGGUAGGAGGAGAGGAGGCUGUGGCGGCGCCCCGUGUUUGCCUUCUUCGUCAAACAUCCACAGAUGAAGGCCACGAUUUCAUCAACUAGUAAAAGGCUCAAGGGCUCGGCAUGUUGCAGGCCAAUGUGUUUCCUUCUCUUCACUAGAUCAGGUCCAAAGGGGGAAACCAAAUGGCAGAGAUCUUGGUACCUAUGAAUUAUCAGCAAUGCUACUAUGAAUUAUAGUGGCAACCAGUCUGUACUGUAGAAUAUAUCAUGAGCUUUUUACCCUUUUUAAUUUAUUUCUAUUAUAAUAAAGUGCGGAACAAUGUCACAGCACAAAGAAGCCUAAGCUGUAGCAUGUACUCAUCAUGAACCAAGUUAAGAGUAUGUCUGCUGGUGAUAGAGGUGGAGCUGUUGAUCUUAUUGGCAGCAUCAAGAUAUCCAAGAUCCCUAUAGUUUCAUUUAUAAUGACUGUUAUAUCUAGAAACUGAAGAGUAUUGUAAAUUUCUGAUACUCAACUUCACGAAACUAAUGAAGUUGCACGCUAUAGAUGUUAGUUUAGUCCUUGUCCUAUGGCAAUUAGCAUAUCAUUCUUGCUGUGAGGAGAGAACAAGCUGAAAGUUUCAGUUAAAAGUUAAUUCCAUUGUCGAUAGAAAUGCUAGAAGGAAAUAAAUGGGAGCUUUAGACUUUGUGCAUUGUUCAUUGUAUAUGUUUCAUAUACCACUCCUUCAGCUAUUUGCCCUGAUAAACGAUUAUUAACUAAUGUACUUCUUCAUUUCUAGGAUGACUUUUGAUUUUCUCUAGGAAUUGAAUCCCCAAGUUAGUUUAUAGGAUACAUUAGACAUCAACUUCUAUUUUUUCCAAUGCAUUAAAGGUUCACUUUCCAUUCUCCAGCUCCUCAAGUGUACGCAACAUAAUAAUCAAUAAAUUGUAUUUAUUUGCACAUGGAAGUAUGAUUUUAUUGUUAGCCUACCAAGUUUUUUUCAUAAUUGAUGGGAAAAGAUCUCUUUCAUGGCUAUGUGAUAUAUCUAUAUGUCUAUUUUGUUUCAUCGCAUAAUUAACUUACUAUG